CGUUAUUUAGGUCGCAGGUUGAUGACAUCACCAGUCUAUAUAAAAAGGCAGGAUAUUAGAAGGAUUUGUUCAAUCUGAAAUGACACCCUCUAUAGGGCUGUACGUUGGACCAGGAGAGCACCAUGAAAGGGGACGUUAUUUAGGUCGCAGGUUGAUGACAUCACCAGUCUAUAUAAAAAGGCAGGAUAUUAGAAGGAUUUGUUCAAUCUGAAAUGACACCCUUUAUAGGGCUGUACGUUGGACCAGGAGAGCACCAUGAAAGGGGACGUUAUUUAGGUCGCAGGUUGAUGACAUCACCAGUCUAUAUAAAAAGGCAGGAUAUUAGAAGGAUUUGUUCAAUCUGAAAUGACACCCUCUAUAGGGCCGUACGUUGGACCAGGAGAGCACCAUGAAAGGGGACGUUAUUUAGGACAUUAUUUCUGUCUGUAUAAAAUCGGAACCAGUGAUUUGCCAGUUACAACAGGAAAUGAGAGGCAGUAUUAAUGUGAUUGGUCAGUUAUAACAGGAAACAAGACAGUAUUAACGUGAUUGGCCAGUUACAACAGGAAAUGAGACAGUAUUAAUGUGAUUGGCCAGUUAUAACAGGAAAUGAGGCAGUAUUAAUGUGAUUGGUCAGUUACAACAGGAAAUAAAACCGGCAGCAUCAAAACGUAUUGAUUAUCAAUGAUUGUCCUCGUAGAGGAAGAAUGGUAGAUAGGGAGGAGGGGGGUUGAUGCUGA
Molecule: long non-coding RNA, 719 nt
Organism: Oncorhynchus tshawytscha (Chinook salmon)
Lineage: Eukaryota; Metazoa; Chordata; Actinopteri; Salmoniformes; Salmonidae
Source: Ensembl